ACAGCAUUAUCUUUUUUUCCCAUUGGUCCUUUGGGAAGUUAGGAGAUAAAACUACUUGAAUACUUCAAACACUACUUAACCUUCUACUUGAAGUUUUAUAGGUCGAGAGUUGUGAUCAAAUUGCCAGAUGCCUCUUCUUCUGUACGUGAUAAACCAUGAUGUUCUGCUUUCAGUAGUCUACUCUCUCAAUUGGCUACAAAUUGACCAGAUAUAUUAGUGUCUGUGCUGGUGGC
Molecule: non-coding RNA, 233 nt
Organism: Pelobates cultripes (western spadefoot toad)
Lineage: Eukaryota; Metazoa; Chordata; Amphibia; Anura; Pelobatidae
Source: the annotation of a GenBank genome assembly